GAUGAACGCUGGCGGCGUGCUUAACACAUGCAAGUCGAGCGGUAGUUAAGAGGUGUUCGCACAUCUUAAUUACAGCGGCGGACGGGUGAGUAAAGUGCGGGUAACCUGCCUUAUAACGUGGAAUAAUCAUGAGAAAUUGUGACUAAUACCGCAAGUCAUCCUUUCAUCGCAUGGUGAGAGGAGAAAAGGAUAUAUUCGGUAUAAGAAGGACCCGCAUCUGAUUAGAUAGUUGGUGAGAUAAUAGCUCACCAAGGCAACGAUCAGUAGCCGACCUGAGAGGGUGAUCGGCCACAUUGGGAAUGAGACACGGCCCAAACUCCUACGGGAGGCAGCAGUGGGGAAUAUUGCACAAUGGGCGAAAGCCUGAUGCAGCAACGCCGCGUGAAGGAAGAAGGGUUUCGGCUCGUAAAAUUCUAUCAAUAGGGAAGAAAGAAAUGACGGUACCUAAAUAAGAAGCCCCG
RNAcentral lists this ribosomal RNA (461 nucleotides) under uncultured bacterium. RNAcentral's name for it is "SSU rRNA". It matches the Rfam family "Bacterial small subunit ribosomal RNA", at positions 28 to 495 of the family's 1533-position model. The record is from RNAcentral.